RNAcentral lists this ribosomal RNA (661 nucleotides) under Debaryomyces sp. RWT6. RNAcentral describes it as "SSU rRNA". It matches the Rfam family "Eukaryotic small subunit ribosomal RNA", at positions 1141 to 1821 of the family's 1831-position model. Lineage: Eukaryota; Fungi; Ascomycota; Pichiomycetes; Serinales; Debaryomycetaceae. The record is from RNAcentral.
AACUUAAAGGAAUUGACGGAAGGGCACCACCAGGAGUGGAGCCUGCGGCUUAAUUUGACUCAACACGGGGAAACUCACCAGGUCCAGACACAAUAAGGAUUGACAGAUUGAGAGCUCUUUCUUGAUUUUGUGGGUGGUGGUGCAUGGCCGUUCUUAGUUGGUGGAGUGAUUUGUCUGCUUAAUUGCGAUAACGAACGAGACCUUAACCUACUAAAUAGUGCUGCUAGCUUUUGCUGGUAUAGUCACUUCUUAGAGGGACUAUCGAUUUCAAGUCGAUGGAAGUUUGAGGCAAUAACAGGUCUGUGAUGCCCUUAGACGUUCUGGGCCGCACGCGCGCUACACUGACGGAGCCAACGAGUAUUAACCUUGGCCGAGAGGUCUGGGAAAUCUUGUGAAACUCCGUCGUGCUGGGGAUAGAGCAUUGUAAUUAUUGCUCUUCAACGAGGAAUUCCUAGUAAGCGCAAGUCAUCAGCUUGCGUUGAUUACGUCCCUGCCCUUUGUACACACCGCCCGUCGCUACUACCGAUUGAAUGGCUUAGUGAGGCCUCCGGAUUGGUUUAAAGAAGGGGGCAACUCCCUCUUGGAACCGAAAAGCUGGUCAAACUUGGUCAUUUAGAGGAAGUAAAAGUCGUAACAAGGUUUCCGUAGGUGAACCUGCGGA